GAUGAACGCUGGCGGCGUGCCUAAUACAUGCAAGUCGAGCGAACAGACGAGGAGCUUGCUCCUCUAACGUUAGCGGCGGACGGGUGAGUAACACGUGGAUAACCUACCUAUAAGACUGGGAUAACUUCGGGAAACCGGAGCUAAUACCGGAUAAUAUAUUGAACCGCAUGGUUCAAUAGUGAAAGACGGUUUUGCUGUCACUUAUAGAUGGAUCCGCGCCGCAUUAGCUAGUUGGUAAGGUAACAGCUUACCAAGGCAACGAUGCGUAGCCGACCUGAGAGGGUGAUCGGCCACACUGGAACUGAGACACGGUCCAGACUCCUACGGGAGGCAGCAGUAGGGAAUCUUCCGCAAUGGGCGAAAGCCUGACGGAGCAACGCCGCGUGAGUGAUGAAGGUCUUCGGAUCGUAAAACUCUGUUAUUAGGGAAGAACAAAUGUGUAAGUAACUAUGCACAUCUUGACGGUACCUAAUCAGAAAGCCACGGCUAACUACGUG
This 497-nucleotide ribosomal RNA is filed under the name uncultured bacterium. Its description in RNAcentral is "partial 16S ribosomal RNA". It matches the Rfam family "Bacterial small subunit ribosomal RNA", at positions 28 to 507 of the family's 1533-position model. The record is from RNAcentral.